AUUAACGCUGGCGGUGUGCCUAACACAUGCAAGUCAAACGGGUUAUCCGAGAUUACAUCAAGGAUAACUAGUGGCAAACGGGUGCGUAACAUGUUGGAACCUACCCUGAAGAGGGAAAUAACCAGUCGAAAGAUUGGCUAAUGUCCCAUAGUCUCGCAAGAGUAAAGUCUCACGACGCUUCAGGAGGGGCCUGCGGCCUAUCAGCUAGUUGGCGGUGUAAUAGACCACCAAGGCUAUGACGGGUAGCUGGAUUGAGAGAUCGAUCAGCCACAGGGGAACUGAGACACAGUCCCCACUCCUACGGGAGGCAGCAGUGAGGAAUCUUCCGCAAUGGGCGAAAGCCUGACGGAGCAACACCGCGUGAAGGAUGAAGUGGUUCGCCAUGUAAACUUCUUUUCUGAGGGAAGAAUUCUGACGGUACCUCAGGAAUAAGCACCGGCUAACUCUGU
Molecule: ribosomal RNA, 449 nt
Filed under: uncultured bacterium
Lineage: Bacteria
Description: bacterial SSU rRNA
Rfam family: Bacterial small subunit ribosomal RNA
Source: RNAcentral